RNAcentral lists this long non-coding RNA (541 nucleotides) under Pan troglodytes (chimpanzee). Its description in RNAcentral is "long non-coding RNA NONPTRT010964". The record is from RNAcentral. Lineage: Eukaryota; Metazoa; Chordata; Mammalia; Primates; Hominidae.
CAUCUCCUCACUCCACACAUCUCACUCCACGCAUCUCCUCACACCACGCAUCUCACUCCACACAUCUCCUCACUCCACACAUCUCCUCACUCCACACAUCUCACUCCAGACAUCUCCUCACUCCACACAUCUCACUCCACGCAUCUCCUCACUCCAUGCGUCUCCUCACUCCACGCAUCUCCUCACACCACGCAUCUCACUCCACACAUCUCCUCACUCCACGCAUCUCACUCCACACAUCUCCUCACUCCACACAUCUCACUCCACGCAUCUCCUCACUCCACACGUCUCCUCACUCCACACAUCUCCUCACUCCACACAUCUCACUCCACACAUCUCACUCCACACAUCUCCUCACUCCACACAUCUCCUCACUCCACAGAAAUCCUCACUGUACGCAUCUCCUUAUCCCACGCCUCCCCUCGUCCCACGUCCCGUGGUCACACUCAUGUCCUCACUGCACACCUCCUGCUGCCUUCUGCAAGGUUCGACUGCUGACUUUGCUUCCCACAGCAUUUCCACUGCUUGACACAGGUGAAUG